AGGAAGAGCCAGGGUUCUGCGAACAUACGCGGAUUGUGUAGCCUUUAUAUAUAUAUGGUUUCGCGUGGCAUUAUAUUGGUGUUACGUACGUAGUAUACCAGGACCAGUCAAGCUGCAAGACUUUGUCGGCCAGUCAAAAGUGGACGCUGCAAUCCAAGGUGAAACUUUCUUUCUCAUGGUGGGGCACACGCAUGAAGAUUUGGAUCAACUGUUAAGUGUUUAGUGCAAGGGAACUUAGACAGAAGCCUGCAACAACCCGCGAUGCCCUCCUUCAAGAUUGGGGACAUCCGGACACCCACCACCAAGCUAUCAGACUUCAAGCCCUUCAUGCCUGCCCCAAGGGAAGCGACAACCUUCCCAACUAAAGUUCAAGAGGCAAUAGAGAAGAACAAUGAAAAACUGCAAAAACAAUCAAAGAUCACUCUGACAAAGCACCGAAGACAAGCGUCAGUAUCAGAACAAUAAAGAAG
RNAcentral lists this long non-coding RNA (470 nucleotides) under Haliotis rufescens (red abalone). RNAcentral describes it as "uncharacterized LOC124151346, transcript variant X1". The record is from RNAcentral. Lineage: Eukaryota; Metazoa; Mollusca; Gastropoda; Lepetellida; Haliotidae.